ACACUUACCUGCCAGGGGAAAUAUCACGAUCACAAAGGUGGUUUUACUAGGGUGAGGCUUUGCCCCUGCACCUUGGAAAGGUUAAGUAUUGUCCUAUGAUUCAGAAGACAGGUUUCAAAAAGAACCUUCAUGAAACAUUAAUGAAGGAGCUCACGGAGCUCUGUUAAG
Molecule: small nuclear RNA, 168 nt
Organism: Protopterus annectens (West African lungfish)
Lineage: Eukaryota; Metazoa; Chordata; Ceratodontiformes; Protopteridae
Product: U1 spliceosomal RNA
Exons: 1
Source: RefSeq, a predicted model, not a curated record